CGAACGCUUCUUUCCUCCCGAGUGCUUGCACUCAAUUGGAAAGAGGAGUGGCGGACGGGUGAGUAACACGUGGGUAACCUACCCAUCAGAGGGGGAUAACACUUGGAAACAGGUGCUAAUACCGCAUAACAGUUUAUGCCGCAUGGCAUAAGAGUGAAAGGCGCUUUCGGGUGUCGCUGAUGGAUGGGCCCGCGGUGCAUUAGCUAGUUGGUGAGGUAACGGCUCACCAAGGCCACGAUGCAUAGCCGACCUGAGAGGGUGAUCGGCCACACUGGGACUGAGACACGGCCCAGACUCCUACGGGAGGCAGCAGUAGGGAAUCUUCGGCAAUGGACGAAAGUCUGACCGAGCAACGCCGCGUGAGUGAAGAAGGUUUUCGGAUCGUAAAACUCUGUUGUUAGAGAAGAACAAGGACGUUAGUAACUGAACGUCCCCUGACGGUAUCUAACCAGAAAGCCACGGCUAACUACGUGCCAGCAGCCGCGGUAAUACGUAGGUGGCAAGCGUUGUCCGGAUUUAUUGGGCGUAAAGCGAGCGCAGGCGGUUUCUUAAGUCUGAUGUGAAAGCCCCCGGCUCAACCGGGGAGGGUCAUUGGAAACUGGGAGACUUGAGUGCAGAAGAGGAGAGUGGAAUUCCAUGUGUAGCGGUGAAAUGCGUAGAUAUAUGGAGGAACACCAGUGGCGAAGGCGGCUCUC
Molecule: ribosomal RNA, 695 nt
Filed under: uncultured Bacilli bacterium
Lineage: Bacteria; Bacillati; Bacillota; Bacilli
Description: bacterial SSU rRNA
Rfam family: Bacterial small subunit ribosomal RNA
Source: RNAcentral